GCGAGUGAAGCGGCAACAGCUCAAAUUUGAAAUCUGGCCCCCUCGGGGCCCGAGUUGUAAUUUGGAGAAGAUGCUUCGGGUGUGGCCCCGGUCUAAGUUCCUUGGAACAGGACGUCACAGAGGGUGAGAAUCCCGUACGUGCCCGGUGGCCGCGCCCGUGUGAAGCUCUUUCGACGAGUCGAGUUGUUUGGGAAUGCAGCUCAAAAUGGGUGGUAUAUUUCAUCUAAAGCUAAAUAUUGGCCAGAGACCGAUAGCGCACAAGUAGAGUGAUCGAAAGAUGAAAAGCACUUUGGAAAGAGAGUUAAACAGUACGUGAAAUUGUUGAAAGGGAAGCGCUUGCAACCAGACUUGCGCGCGGCCGAUCAUCCGGUGUUCGCACCGGUGCACUCGACCGCGCGCAGGCCAGCAUCGGUUUGGGUGGCUGGACAAAGGCCUCGGGAACGUGGCCCCCCUCGGGGGGUGUUAUAGCCCGAGGCGCAAUGCAGCCUACCCGGACCGAGGACCGCGCUUCGGCUAGGAUGC
This 522-nucleotide ribosomal RNA is filed under the name Oidiodendron tenuissimum. Its description in RNAcentral is "eukaryotic LSU rRNA". It matches the Rfam family "Eukaryotic large subunit ribosomal RNA", at positions 89 to 626 of the family's 3401-position model. Lineage: Eukaryota; Fungi; Ascomycota; Leotiomycetes; Myxotrichaceae. The record is from RNAcentral.